CGCGUAGGCGGCUUGGCAAGUCAGGUGUGAAAUCCCCCGGCUCAACCGGGGAACUGCAUUUGAUACUGCUGAGCUAGAGUGCAGGAGGGGAGAGUGGAAUUCCUGGUGUAGCGGUGAAAUGCGUAGAUAUCAGGAGGAACGCCGGUGGCGAAAGCGACUCUCUGGCCUGCUACUGACGCUGAGGUGCGAAAGCUAGGGGAGCAAACG
Molecule: ribosomal RNA, 207 nt
Filed under: uncultured bacterium
Lineage: Bacteria
Description: partial 16S ribosomal RNA
Rfam family: Bacterial small subunit ribosomal RNA
Source: RNAcentral